Molecule: ribosomal RNA, 898 nt
Filed under: Epicoccum latusicollum
Lineage: Eukaryota; Fungi; Ascomycota; Dothideomycetes; Pleosporales; Didymellaceae
Description: partial large subunit ribosomal RNA
Rfam family: Eukaryotic large subunit ribosomal RNA
Source: RNAcentral
AUCAAUAAGCGGAGGAAAAGAAACCAACAGGGAUUGCCCUAGUAACGGCGAGUGAAGCGGCAACAGCUCAAAUUUGAAAUCUGGCGUCUUUGGCGUCCGAGUUGUAAUUUGCAGAGGGCGCUUUGGCAUUGGCAGCGGUCCAAGUUCCUUGGAACAGGACGUCACAGAGGGUGAGAAUCCCGUACGUGGUCGCUAGCCUUUACCGUGUAAAGCCCCUUCGACGAGUCGAGUUGUUUGGGAAUGCAGCUCUAAAUGGGAGGUAAAUUUCUUCUAAAGCUAAAUACUGGCCAGAGACCGAUAGCGCACAAGUAGAGUGAUCGAAAGAUGAAAAGCACUUUGGAAAGAGAGUUAAAAAGCACGUGAAAUUGUUGAAAGGGAAGCGCUUGCAGCCAGACUUGCCUGUAGUUGCUCAUCCGGGUUUUUACCCGGUGCACUCUUCUACGGGCAGGCCAGCAUCAGUUUGGGCGGUUGGAUAAAGGUCUCUGUCAUGUACCUCCUCUCGGGGAGAACUUAUAGGGGAGACGACAUGCAACCAGCCCGGACUGAGGUCCGCGCAUCUGCUAGGAUGCUGGCGUAAUGGCUGUAAGCGGCCCGUCUUGAAACACGGACCAAGGAGUCUAACAUCUAUGCGAGUGUUUGGGUGUCAAGCCCGAGCGCGUAAUGAAAGUGAACGGAGGUGGGAACCUUUCGGGGUGCACCAUCGACCGAUCCUGAUGUCUUCGGAUGGAUUUGAGUAAGAGCAUAGCUGUUGGGACCCGAAAGAUGGUGAACUAUGCUUGAAUAGGGUGAAGCCAGAGGAAACUCUGGUGGAGGCUCGCAGCGGUUCUGACGUGCAAAUCGAUCGUCAAAUUUGGGCAUAGGGGCGAAAGACUAAUCGAACUAUCUAGUAGCUGGUUCU